UAUUGGACAAUGGGCGAAAGCCUGAUCCAGCCAUGCCGCGUGUGUGAAGAAGGUCUUCGGAUUGUAAAGCACUUUAAGUUGGGAGGAAGGGCAGUUACCUAAUACGUGAUUGUUUUGACGUUACCGACAGAAUAAGCACCGGCUAACUCUGUGCCAGCAGCCGCGGUAAUACAGAGGGUGCAAGCGUUAACCGGAAUUACUGGGCGUAAAGCGCGCGUAGGUGGUUAGUUAAGUUGGAUGUGAAAUCCCCGGGCUCAACCUGGGAACUGCAUUCAAAACUGACUGACUAGAGUAUGGUAGAGGGUGGUGGAAUUUCCUGUGUAGCGGUGAAAUGCGUAGAUAUAGGAAGGAACACCAGUGGCGAAGGCGACCACCUGACUAUACGACACUGAGGGCGAAA
This 400-nucleotide ribosomal RNA is filed under the name uncultured bacterium. RNAcentral's name for it is "bacterial SSU rRNA". It matches the Rfam family "Bacterial small subunit ribosomal RNA", at positions 362 to 758 of the family's 1533-position model. The record is from RNAcentral.